RNAcentral lists this ribosomal RNA (229 nucleotides) under uncultured bacterium. RNAcentral describes it as "partial 16S ribosomal RNA". It matches the Rfam family "Bacterial small subunit ribosomal RNA", at positions 88 to 334 of the family's 1533-position model. The record is from RNAcentral.
GGGGUUAGUGGCGGACGGGUGAGUAACACGUGGGAACGUGCCCUUUGGUUCGGAACAACUCAGGGAAACUUGAGCUAAUACCGGAUGUGCCCUUCGGGGGAAAGAUUUAUCGCCAUUGGAGCGGCCCGCGUCUGAUUAGCUAGUUGGUGAGGUAAAGGCUCACCAAGGCUUCGAUCAGUAGCUGGUCUGAGAGGAUGAUCAGCCACACUGGGACUGAGACACGGCCCAG